CUACGGGCUGCUCCAGCUAAGAAUCUUCCGCAAUGGGCGCAAGCCUGACGGAGCGACGCCGCGUGAAUGAUGAAGGCCGCGAGGUUGUAAAGUUCUUUUCCUAGGGAGGAAUAAUAAUAGAAGGAAAUGUCUAUUAGAUGACGUUAACUAGGGAAUAAGCCCCGGCUAAUUACGUGCCAGCAGCCGCGGUAACACGUAAGGGGCAAGCGUUGUUCGGAAUUAUUGGGCGUAAAGGGUGCGUAGGCGGAUUAUCAAGCCUGAUGUGAAAGACCACAGCUUAACUGUGGGAACGCGUUGGGAACUGGUAGUCUAGAAUGAUUGAGGGGUAACCGGAAUUUCUAGUGUAGGGGUGAAAUCUGUAGAUAUUAGAAAGAACACCAAUGGCGAAGGCAGGUUACUGGCAGUCUAUUAACGCUAAGGCACGAAAGCGUGGGGAGCAAACAGGAUUAGAUACCCGGGUAGUC
Molecule: ribosomal RNA, 464 nt
Filed under: uncultured bacterium
Lineage: Bacteria
Description: partial 16S ribosomal RNA
Rfam family: Bacterial small subunit ribosomal RNA
Source: RNAcentral